UACGAAGGGGGCUAGCGUUGCUCGGAAUUACUGGGCGUAAAGCGCACGUAGGCGGCUUCUUAAGUCGGUGGUGAAAUCCUGGAGCUCAACUCCAGAACUGCCUUCGAUACUGGGAAGCUUGAGUCCGGGAGAGGUGAGUGGAACUGCGAGUGUAGAGGUGAAAUUCGUAGAUAUUCGCAAGAACACCAGUGGCGAAGGCGGCCUUCUGGACAGUGACUGACGCUGAGACGCGAAAGCGUGGGGAGCAAACAGG
This 253-nucleotide ribosomal RNA is filed under the name uncultured bacterium. Its description in RNAcentral is "partial 16S ribosomal RNA". It matches the Rfam family "Bacterial small subunit ribosomal RNA", at positions 524 to 776 of the family's 1533-position model. The record is from RNAcentral.